AAUACAUCGGAACGUGCCCAAUCGUGGGGGAUAACGUAGCGAAAGCUACGCUAAUACCGCAUACGAUCUACGGAUGAAAGCGGGGGAUCGCAAGACCUCGCGCGAAUGGAGCGGCCGAUGGCAGAUUAGGUAGUUGGUGGGGUAAAGGCUCACCAAGCCAACGAUCUGUAGCUGGUCUGAGAGGACGACCAGCCACACUGGGACUGAGACACGGCCCAGACUCCUACGGGAGGCAGCAGUGGGGAAUUUUGGACAAUGGGCGCAAGCCCGAUCCAGCCAUGCCGCGUGCAGGAUGAAGGCCUUCGGGUUGUAAACUGCUUUUGUACGGAACGAAAAGACUCUGGUUAAUACCUGGGGUCCAUGACGGUACCGUAAGAAUAAGCACCGGCUAACUACGUGCCAGCAGCCGCGGUAAUACAGAGGGUGCGAGCGUUAAUCGGAUUUACUGGGCGUAAAGCGUGCGUAGGCGGCUUUUUAAGUCGGAUGUGAAAUCCCUGAGCUUAACUUAGGAAUUGCAUUCGAUACUGGGAAGCUAGAGUAUGGGAGAGGAUGGUAGAAUUCCAGGUGUAGCGGUGAAAUGCGUAGAGAUCUGGAGG
Molecule: ribosomal RNA, 596 nt
Filed under: uncultured bacterium
Lineage: Bacteria
Description: bacterial SSU rRNA
Rfam family: Bacterial small subunit ribosomal RNA
Source: RNAcentral